RNAcentral lists this ribosomal RNA (253 nucleotides) under uncultured bacterium. RNAcentral's name for it is "partial 16S ribosomal RNA". It matches the Rfam family "Bacterial small subunit ribosomal RNA", at positions 524 to 776 of the family's 1533-position model. The record is from RNAcentral.
UACAGAGGGUGCAAGCGUUAAUCGGAGUUACUGGGCGUAAAGGGCGCGUAGGCGGUUGUAUAAGUGAGAUGUGAAAGCCCUGGGCUUAACCUAGGAAUUGCAUCUUAUACUGUAUGACUAGAGUACUGUAGAGGGUAGUGGAAUUUCCGGUGUAGCGGUGAAAUGCGUAGAUAUCGGGAGGAACACCUGUGGCGAAAGCGGCUCACUGGACCACAACUGACGCUGAGGCGCGAAAGCUAGGGGAGCAAACAGG